This 301-nucleotide ribosomal RNA is filed under the name uncultured bacterium. RNAcentral's name for it is "partial 16S ribosomal RNA". It matches the Rfam family "Bacterial small subunit ribosomal RNA", at positions 509 to 807 of the family's 1533-position model. The record is from RNAcentral.
CAGUCGCCGCGGUAAUACGGAGGGGGCUAGCGUUGCUCGGAAUUACUGGGCGCAAAGGGAGCGUAGGCGGACAUUUAAGUCAGGGGUGAAAUCCCGGGGCUCAACCUCGGAAUUGCCUUUGAUACUGGGUGUCUUGAGUAUGAGAGAGGUAUGUGGAACUCCGAGUGUAGAGGUGAAAUUCGUAGAUAUUCGGAAGAACAUCAGUGGCGAAGGCGGCAACCUGGCUCAUUACUGACGCUGAGGCGCGAAAGCGUGGGGAGCAAACAGGAUUAGAUACCCCUGUAGUCCCUGUCUCUUAUAC